This 262-nucleotide long non-coding RNA is filed under the name Gossypium raimondii (Peruvian cotton). RNAcentral describes it as "long non-coding RNA (GRAI_LNC009419)". The record is from RNAcentral. Lineage: Eukaryota; Viridiplantae; Streptophyta; Magnoliopsida; Malvales; Malvaceae.
CCGAUCGUCGCCUUUUGUGGCAGAGCUUUUAAAGAAAUAUUCUAUCCCAAUGCCAAUUCCUUGCUGCCUUAAACCAUUCGAAUAGGACAAAAACUUUCUCCAUGACCCAGCCUUCCACAUAAGAAACAAAAAGUCAUUAACUUUUCAUAUUUGAAAAUCGCAAAAAUUUCUUUUGCUUUUGCUAUCAUGAGUUUUUUCUUCCGUUUCAGAGGAUGGCGAAUAUCCACCAAAACCCGAAUUCUCAUAAAAUUCUUUAGUCUCG